This 253-nucleotide ribosomal RNA is filed under the name uncultured bacterium. Its description in RNAcentral is "partial 16S ribosomal RNA". It matches the Rfam family "Bacterial small subunit ribosomal RNA", at positions 524 to 776 of the family's 1533-position model. The record is from RNAcentral.
UACGGAGGGGGCUAGCGUUGUUCGGAAUUACUGGGCGUAAAGCGCGCGUAGGCGGCUUUGUAAGUUAGAGGUGAAAGCCCGGGGCUCAACCCCGGAAUUGCCUUUAAGACUGCAUCGCUAGAAUUGUGGAGAGGUAAGUGGAAUUCCGAGUGUAGAGGUGAAAUUCGUAGAUAUUCGGAAGAACACCAGUGGCGAAGGCGACUUACUGGACACAUAUUGACGCCGAGGUGCGAAAGCGUGGGGAGCAAACAGG